AGAGUUUGAUCCUGGCUCAGGACGAACGCUGGCGGCGUGCUUAACACAUGCAAGUCGAACGGAAAGGCCCUUCGGGGUACUCGAGUGGCGAACGGGUGAGUAACACGUGGGUGAUCUGCCCUGCACUUUGGGAUAAGCCUGGGAAACUGGGUCUAAUACCGAAUAGGACCACGCGCUUCAUGGUGUGUGGUGGAAAGCUUUUGCGGUGUGGGAUGGGCCCGCGGCCUAUCAGCUUGUUGGUGGGGUAAUGGCCUACCAAGGCGACGACGGGUAGCCGGCCUGAGAGGGUGACCGGCCACACUGGGACUGAGAUACGGCCCAGACUCCUACGGGAGGCAGCAGUGGGGAAUAUUGCACAAUGGGCGCAAGCCUGAUGCAGCGACGCCGCGUGAGGGAUGACGGCCUUCGGGUUGUAAACCUCUUUCAAUAGGGACGAAGCGCAAGUGACGGUACCUAUAGAAGAAGCACCGGCCAACUACGUGCCAGCAGCCGCGGUAAUACGUAGGGUGCGAGCGUUGUCCGGAAUUACUGGGCGUAAAGAGCUCGUAGGUGGUUUGUCGCGUUGUUCGUGAAAACUCACAGCUUAACUGUGGGCGUGCGGGCGAUACGGGCAGACUAGAGUACUGCAGGGGAGACUGGAAUUCCUGGUGUAGCGGUGGAAUGCGCAGAUAUCAGGAGGAACACCGGUGGCGAAGGCGGGUCUCUUGGCAGUAACUGACGCUGAGGAGCGAAAGCGUGGGGAGCGAACAGGAUUAGAUACCCUGGUAGUCCACGCCGUAAACGGUGGGUACUAGGUGUGGGUUCCUUCCUUGGGAUCCGUGCCGUAGCUAACGUAUUAAGUACCCCGCCUGGGGAGUACGGCCGCAAGGCUAAAACUCAAAGGAAUUGACGGG
RNAcentral lists this ribosomal RNA (893 nucleotides) under uncultured bacterium. Its description in RNAcentral is "bacterial SSU rRNA". It matches the Rfam family "Bacterial small subunit ribosomal RNA", at positions 8 to 917 of the family's 1533-position model. The record is from RNAcentral.